GUGGGGACCCCGACUCUCAGGGUUGGAGGCCUGCAUUUCUGGAUCCCUAUAAACAUGGGCUGAGAGCCCCCCCAAGAGCAUCUCUAAGACCGGAGUGGGCAGGGACCCGGGCCUCUGAGGGGCUCAGGCUCCAGGCCGGAAACUGCACGCGGUGCUGGCGUCAGGCCCGAGGCCCAGCUACGCCUCCCACGGCCUCCCUAAUCGCCAUUCGGGGCUUGCGGGAGCACCUGGGAGGCUCCACCCGGAGCCAGACACUGCCUGCCCCCACGCCCCUCCAGGACCCUCGAAGGAGAAGGAAAUCGGGACUGGCCCAGCGUCCCGUGCUCUAGAAGGCGGGCUACUGCCCCGUCCCAAGCAGGGGAGGAGGACGAGCGAGGGCGUCACUCAUUCUGUCCCCCGCGGAAGGAUGAGGAAGCUCUGUUUACCUAAAUGAAAAGCUUUCUAGGAGGAAGUCCUAAGUGAACAAUGAUGCAUGAGGAUGCAAUCUUACAGGCAAGGAGCCCAGUGAUAACAAAUGGCUGUAGAUGCUUUUCCUCCAUCAAGCUUCCAGGAGGAGAUGAGAUGGAGCCCAUCGCUGAGCCAAGGUCACCAGCCCCAUUUCACAAAUGUAAAUAGCAGGUGUCCCCCACACAGUCUGAACACUUGGAGGCCAAGAUUCAUUUCUCUCAGGGCCCACCAUCCUCAAGCAUGGGAUUGAUUUAGUGCCUCUUGCUGGGAAGCAAAGUUCUGGGAGCCAUAGUGGGAUCCUCCCUCCCUCCCUGCAGGAGACUGGGGCCCUUCCAAGCAGCAACUGAGACCAGUCAACAACCUCUGCCUUAGGCCAGGCGCGGUGGCUCACGCCUGUAAUCCCAACACUUUGGGAGGCUGAGGCGGGCAGAUCAUCUGAGGUCAGGAGUUCAAAACCAUCCUGGCCAACAUGGUGAAACCCCGUCUCUACUAAAAAUACAAAAAUUAGCUGGGCGUGGUGGUGCGUGCCUGUUGUCCUAGCUACUCCGGAGGCCAAGGCAGGAGAAUUCCUUGAACCUGGGAGACAGAGGUUGCAGGUCUGAGAUUGCACCACAGCAUCCAGCCUGGGCGACAGAGUGAGACCCUGUCUCAAAAAGAAACAAAUUAAAAAACAAAAAACAAAAAACAACCUCUGCCUGCCCUUGGGGCCUAGCAUGAGCCCCUGCACACAGGAGGCUUCUAUAAAAAUAGCUCAUUUCGGGUAAUCUAGGGCAGAACCCAGGCUUUUACCACUUGUGGUUUCUCUUUCUAAAUGUGUAGUUAAAAGCUGUAGGCCAGACCUGGUGCAUGGUGGCUCAUGCCUGGAAUCCCAACACUUUGGGAGGCUGAGGUGGGAGAAUCACUUGAGGUCAGGAAUUUGAGAUCAGCUUGGCCAAUAUAGCAAGACCCUGACUCUUUAAAAAAAAAAUUUUUUUUUUAAUUAGCCAGGCAAGGUGGUUGUGCCUAUAGUUCCAGCUACUCAGGAGGCUGAGGCAGGAGGCUCACUUGAGCCCAGGAGUGCGAGGCU
RNAcentral lists this long non-coding RNA (1513 nucleotides) under Homo sapiens (human). RNAcentral's name for it is "non-protein coding lnc-NLRP12-1:11". The record is from RNAcentral. Lineage: Eukaryota; Metazoa; Chordata; Mammalia; Primates; Hominidae.